UACGUAGGGAGCAAGCGUUGUCCGGAAUCAUUGGGCGUAAAGGGCUCGUAGGCGGCCAACUAAGUCCGACGUGAAAUCCCCAGGCUUAACCUGGGAACUGCGUCGGAUACUGGUUGGCUUGAAUUCGGGAGAGGGAUGCAGAAUUCCAGGUGUAGCGGUGAAAUGCGUAGAUAUCGGGAAGAACACCCGUGGCGAAGGCGGCUCUCUGGGACGGUACUGGACGCUGAGACGCGAAAGCGUGGGGAGCGAACAGG
This 254-nucleotide ribosomal RNA is filed under the name uncultured bacterium. RNAcentral describes it as "partial 16S ribosomal RNA". It matches the Rfam family "Bacterial small subunit ribosomal RNA", at positions 524 to 776 of the family's 1533-position model. The record is from RNAcentral.